This 779-nucleotide ribosomal RNA is filed under the name Streptomyces microflavus. RNAcentral describes it as "bacterial SSU rRNA". It matches the Rfam family "Bacterial small subunit ribosomal RNA", at positions 80 to 871 of the family's 1533-position model. The record is from RNAcentral. Lineage: Bacteria; Bacillati; Actinomycetota; Actinomycetes; Kitasatosporales; Streptomycetaceae.
UUUCGGGGUGGAUUAGUGGCGAACGGGUGAGUAACACGUGGGCAAUCUGCCCUUCACUCUGGGACAAGCCCUGGAAACGGGGUCUAAUACCGGAUAACACUCUGUCCCGCAUGGGACGGGGUUAAAAGCUCCGGCGGUGAAGGAUGAGCCCGCGGCCUAUCAGCUUGUUGGUGGGGUAAUGGCCUACCAAGGCGACGACGGGUAGCCGGCCUGAGAGGGCGACCGGCCACACUGGGACUGAGACACGGCCCAGACUCCUACGGGAGGCAGCAGUGGGGAAUAUUGCACAAUGGGCGAAAGCCUGAUGCAGCGACGCCGCGUGAGGGAUGACGGCCUUCGGGUUGUAAACCUCUUUCAGCAGGGAAGAAGCGAAAGUGACGGUACCUGCAGAAGAAGCGCCGGCUAACUACGUGCCAGCAGCCGCGGUAAUACGUAGGGCGCAAGCGUUGUCCGGAAUUAUUGGGCGUAAAGAGCUCGUAGGCGGCUUGUCACGUCGGAUGUGAAAGCCCGGGGCUUAACCCCGGGUCUGCAUUCGAUACGGGCUAGCUAGAGUGUGGUAGGGGAGAUCGGAAUUCCUGGUGUAGCGGUGAAAUGCGCAGAUAUCAGGAGGAACACCGGUGGCGAAGGCGGAUCUCUGGGCCAUUACUGACGCUGAGGAGCGAAAGCGUGGGGAGCGAACAGGAUUAGAUACCCUGGUAGUCCACGCCGUAAACGUUGGGAACUAGGUGUUGGCGACAUUCCACGUCGUCGGUGCCGCAGCUAACGCAUUAAGUUCCCCG